GAUGAACGCUGGCGGCGUGCCUAAUACAUGCAAGUCGAGCGAACAGACGAGGAGCUUGCUCCUCUGACGUUAGCGGCGGACGGGUGAGUAACACGUGGAUAACCUACCUAUAAGACUGGGAUAACUUCGGGAAACCGGAGCUAAUACCGGAUAAUAUAUUGAACCGCAUGGUUCAAUAGUGAAAGACGGUUUUGCUGUCACUUAUAGAUGGAUCCGCGCCGCAUUAGCUAGUUGGUGAGGUAACGGCUUACCAAGGCGACGAUGCGUAGCCGACCUGAGAGGAGGAGCGGCGACACGGGAGGUGAGACACGGUCCAGACUCCGACGGGAGGCAGCAGUGGGGAAGAUUGCACAAUGGGCGCAAGCCUGAUGCAGCCAUGCCGCGGGGAUGAAGAAGGCGUUCGGAUUGUAAAGUACUUUCAGCGGGGAGGAAGGGAGUAAAGUGAAUACCUUUGCGCAUUGACGUUACCCGCAGAAGAAGCACCGGCUAACUCCGUG
This 497-nucleotide ribosomal RNA is filed under the name uncultured bacterium. Its description in RNAcentral is "partial 16S ribosomal RNA". It matches the Rfam family "Bacterial small subunit ribosomal RNA", at positions 28 to 507 of the family's 1533-position model. The record is from RNAcentral.